Homo sapiens (human) is the source of this 2292-nucleotide long non-coding RNA. RefSeq lists it as uncharacterized. The transcript has 5 exons. The record is from RefSeq and is a predicted model, not a curated record. NCBI's taxonomy places the organism in Eukaryota, Metazoa, Chordata, Mammalia, Primates, Hominidae.
UUGGAGCGCCCUGGCUGCGGCCAAGGCCAACAGCGGGCGCCGGAAGGCGGGAUUUCCGCCGCACGCACGCACUCCCGCACUCCCACGGGAGACUGCUUGGCCCGGAGCGCUCUUGAUCACGCCGCGGCGGGUGGUGGCGCUCACACUAACUAUAGCUAUCCAGGGCGCGGGUCGAGUGGCGAGACCAGCUCCCCUGGGUAUGAGAACGCAUCUUUGUGCGGUCGGCUGGCUGGGGCCUGAAGAGCUUCCUCCUGUGUGUUCAACUGAACGCAGCAAAAGUCUUGGGCAGAUUCCAUGGAGCAGCUGUGGAAGCACUGUGCAGGGAAUCGAAGAAGGAAACACCUCCAGCGACCACAAAACAAAAUUGAAGAACUAUAAAACAAUAUAGGCCGGGCGUGGUGGCUCACAGCAUUGCUUGGUCAUCGUGUUCUGAGUGGUCCAUUGGCCUCCAUGUCCCUUUUGGGGUGGAUAUUUGCUCAGUGACUUUUGAGCAGCUGGAUCUCCUGCUUCGGCAGGUCUGGGCAGCGUCUUCCUGAACAGCCUGAAGCAGAAGGUGGUGACCCUGGCAAGCAGCGCAGACGUGCUGAGCACCGUGCAGUCGGCCUCCCAGGCCAUGCUGCAGAGCGGCUGGUCCAUGCUGUUGCCCACCGCUGAGAAGCAGGCCCGGGCACUCUGCUCUCCUGUCCUGUGGAGACUUUCUAUUUCAGUUUCAGGCAAUGAAGUGAACAUAAGUCCAGGUCAUCGAUUGGUGAUUGAUCUUCUGGUGGGCAGCUUGAUGGCUGAUGGAGGGUUGGAGUCAGCCUUACACGCAGCCAUUACUGCAGAGAUCCAGGAUACAAAAAAAGAAGCACGGAAGGAAAAAGAAAUUUAUGAACAGGAGGCAAAUGCCUCAACAUUUCAUAGAAGGAGGACUCCAUUGGAUAAAGACCUUAUUAAUACGGGGAUCUGUGAGUCUUCUGGCAAACAGUGUUUGCCUCUGGUUCAGCUCAUACAACAGCUUCUUAGGUAAAUCAUAUUAGCUGUAUUGUAUUGUGUUUUAUUUAUUUACUUUUUUUUUUUUGAGACAGAGUUUCGCUCUUGUUGCCCAGGCCGGAGUGCAGUGGUGCGAUCUUGACUCACUGCAACCUCCGCCUCCCAGGUUCAAGUAAUUCCUCUGCCUCAGCCUCUCGAGCAGCUGGGAUUACAGGCAUGCGCCACCAUGCCCCACUAAUUUUGUAGUUUUAUUAGAGACAGGGUUUCUUCAUGUUGGUCAGGCCGGUCUUGAACUCCCGACCUCAGGUGGUCCAUCCACUUUGGCCUCCCAAAAUGUUGGGAUUACAGGCAUUAGCCACCACGCCUGGCCUAUUUAUUUACUUAUUAAUGGUGUUUUUUGUUUUUUGUUUUUUUUUUGAGAUGGAGUCUUGCUCUAUCGUCCAGGCUGGAGUGCAGUGUCACGAUCUUGGCUCACUGCAACCCCCGCCUCCUGGGUUCAAGCUAUUCUCCUGCCUCAGCCUCCCGAGUAGCUGGGACUACAGGCGUCUGCAACCACACCUGGCUGAUUUGUGUAUUUUUAGUAGAGAUGGGGUUUUACCAUAUUGGUCAGGCUGGUCUCAAAUUCCUGACGUCAGGUGACCCACCUGCCUUGGCCUCUCAAAAUGUUGGGAUUACAGGUGUUAGCCACUGUUCCCGGCCUGUAUUGUAUUUUAAUAGGUGAUUAUUGGUUUUCAUAUUAAGAUAGUGAAAUCUAGCGCAAGGGUCUCAAAAAUUUGUUUGAUGAUUGAAGGAAUAUUCUGAAAAUUACCUAGUAUAGAUGUUAGGAUAAAGAGCAGACCCUUCUCAAUAUAGGUGAGAGGAGAAGUUGGAGGGUGUGAUGAUACUCAGAAGUUUUUCACAGAAGAGAAAUUGGGGCGUGCAGUAAACAUGUAAAAAGAUUCUUACUAAUAAGCAGGUAGGUGCGAAUGAAAAUCAUCAUGGAAGGUUAUUUUUAAAACUGGUUCUAUCAUUGCCUCACUUUACAUAUUACAGAGUUGUACCUACUACUUUGUAAGAUAACUUUUCUUUUCAAAACUGAAGUCAAUGUGAUAGAAUGGUGAGCAUUAUUUUGGAAGGCCAGACUAGGAGGAGGUGGGAGGAGGAAGUCAGACUCAGCCUGUGAACAGACGCUAACCUUGGCAGAAGCCAAAACAGUCAGACAGUGUUGUGUAAAAAUGAUCAUUCAAGAAGAGCGAAACAGCAAGGUGAUUUGUGAAAGAGAUUUAUUAGAAAAUGAAACACAUUUAUACCUCUGUUCAAUAAAAAUCUGCUUUUCGUCAA